RNAcentral lists this ribosomal RNA (1290 nucleotides) under Triticum aestivum (bread wheat). RNAcentral describes it as "partial small subunit ribosomal RNA". Lineage: Eukaryota; Viridiplantae; Streptophyta; Magnoliopsida; Poales; Poaceae. The record is from RNAcentral.
AUGACAGUUUGGGACAGACAGAGAAAUGUGCUCGCAAGAGUGCCUCGAACUGGCAAUCGCAUGUAUAUUCUCAACAUCCAACCGUCAGAGCCGGUCUGUUUGCUUGCACACGCAAAGGAAGAUGCGUGGUUGUGGCACAUGAGGUACGGGCAUGUAAAUUUCCGUUCACUCUGUGCACUGGCAGCCGAGGAGAUGGUCGAAGGAAUGCCGCAGCUCAAGCAAGUUAAUCAGGUGUGUGAUAGUUGUAUGAUUGCAAAGCAGAAACGACUUCCGUUCCCGGCACAAGCAGCAUACCGAGCAGUUAAACAACUAGACCUAUGGCACGGGGAUCUCUGUGGACCCAUCACACCUCCGACCCCAGGUGGUAAGCGUUACUUUCUGCUUCUGGUCGAUGACUAUUCUCGAUACAUGUGGAUUGUGUUGCUGCAUAGUAAGGAUGAGGCAAUGGAAGCCAUCAAGAAAGUGCAGAUUGCAGCUGAGGUUGAGAAGAACCUGAAACUAAAGGCGCUGCGCACUGACAGGGGUGGCGAAUUCACCUCUGCCGAGUUCGUUGAUUACUGUGAACGCCACGGCAUCAAGCAUUUCAGGACAGCACCCUAUACACCUCAGUACAAUGGGGUGGUUGAGAGAAGAAAUCAAACCGUCGUGGGGAUGGCGAGGAGCCUCCUCAAGAGUAUGGGCAUGCCUGCAAGGUUUUGGGGUGAAGCCGUGACUACCGUUGUGUACCUGCUGAACUGAGCUCCUACAAAGAGUGUGAAAGGGAUGACACCCUAUGAGGCAUGGCAUGAGAGAAAGCCCUCUGUGCAACACCUGCGUACAUUUGGUUGCACCGCUCAUGUGAAGAAAGUUGGGCCGGGACAGACCAAACUAGCUGACAGAAGCAAGCAAAUGGUGAUGAUCGGAUAUGAAACCGGAUCAAAGGCCUAUCGCAUGUAUGAUCCAGACAGCAAGAAGCUGGUCAUCACAUGGGAUGCGAUGUUUGAAGAAGAUAGGCCAUGGAAUUGGAGCUCUUUGGAGUUAGUUGAAGAAAAAGAUCCAGAUUCUUUUGUUGUGUUCUAUCCGAAUGAGCAAGAUUCAGAAGAGAUUGGAGAAGUAGCGGAAAGCGCUGCCACGGCAGCGAAAUCUCCUGCAGCGCCUCGGCAGACCUUCAAGACUCGGCAAGCAAACGAUGGUGUCGCUAUUCCGAUCGAUUUGGAGAGCUCUCCUGUGACCCCAACUCACUUCCAAGCAUCUCCAGGCACACCAUAUACCGAGCCAUCGCUGGGUCCACAAGGCGAGCGCUUGCUCUAG